Molecule: ribosomal RNA, 2102 nt
Filed under: Pseudomonas sp. NBRC 111138
Lineage: Bacteria; Pseudomonadati; Pseudomonadota; Gammaproteobacteria; Pseudomonadales; Pseudomonadaceae
Description: bacterial LSU rRNA
Rfam family: Bacterial large subunit ribosomal RNA
Source: RNAcentral
UCAAGUGAAGAAGCGCAUACGGUGGAUGCCUUGGCAGUCAGAGGCGAUGAAAGACGUGGUAGCCUGCGAAAAGCUUCGGGGAGUCGGCAAACAGACUUUGAUCCGGAGAUGUCUGAAUGGGGGAACCCAGCCAUCAUAAGAUGGUUAUCUUGUACUGAAUACAUAGGUGCAAGAGGCGAACCAGGGGAACUGAAACAUCUAAGUACCCUGAGGAAAAGAAAUCAACCGAGAUUCCCUUAGUAGUGGCGAGCGAACGGGGACUAGCCCUUAAGUGGCUUUGAGAUUAGCGGAACGCUCUGGAAAGUGCGGCCAUAGUGGGUGAUAGCCCUGUACGCGAAAAUCUCUUAGUCAUGAAAUCGAGUAGGACGGAGCACGAGAAACUUUGUCUGAAUAUGGGGGGACCAUCCUCCAAGGCUAAAUACUACUGACUGACCGAUAGUGAACUAGUACCGUGAGGGAAAGGCGAAAAGAACCCCGGAGAGGGGAGUGAAAUAGAUCCUGAAACCGUAUGCGUACAAGCAGUGGGAGCCCACUUUGUUGGGUGACUGCGUACCUUUUGUAUAAUGGGUCAGCGACUUAUUUUCAGUGGCGAGCUUAACCGAAUAGGGGAGGCGUAGCGAAAGCGAGUCUUAAUAGGGCGUCUAGUCGCUGGGAAUAGACCCGAAACCGGGCGAUCUAUCCAUGGGCAGGUUGAAGGUUGGGUAACACUAACUGGAGGACCGAACCGACUACCGUUGAAAAGUUAGCGGAUGACCUGUGGAUCGGAGUGAAAGGCUAAUCAAGCUCGGAGAUAGCUGGUUCUCCUCGAAAGCUAUUUAGGUAGCGCCUCAUGUAUCACUGUAGGGGGUAGAGCACUGUUUCGGCUAGGGGGUCAUCCCGACUUACCAAACCGAUGCAAACUCCGAAUACCUACAAGUGCCGAGCAUGGGAGACACACGGCGGGUGCUAACGUCCGUCGUGAAAAGGGAAACAACCCAGACCGUCAGCUAAGGUCCCAAAGUUAUGGUUAAGUGGGAAACGAUGUGGGAAGGCUUAGACAGCUAGGAGGUUGGCUUAGAAGCAGCCACCCUUUAAAGAAAGCGUAAUAGCUCACUAGUCGAGUCGGCCUGCGCGGAAGAUGUAACGGGGCUCAAACCAUACACCGAAGCUACGGGUAUCACGUAAGUGAUGCGGUAGAGGAGCGUUCUGUAAGCCUGUGAAGGUGAGUUGAGAAGCUUGCUGGAGGUAUCAGAAGUGCGAAUGCUGACAUGAGUAACGAUAAUGGGUGUGAAAAACACCCACGCCGAAAGACCAAGGUUUCCUGCGCAACGUUAAUCGACGCAGGGUUAGUCGGUCCCUAAGGCGAGGCUGAAAAGCGUAGUCGAUGGAAAACAGGUUAAUAUUCCUGUACUUCUGGUUAUUGCGAUGGAGGGACGGAGAAGGCUAGGCCAGCUUGGCGUUGGUUGUCCAAGUUUAAGGUGGUAGGCUGAAAUCUUAGGUAAAUCCGGGAUUUCAAGGCCGAGAGCUGAUGACGAGUUAUCUUUUAGAUAACGAAGUGGUUGAUGCCAUGCUUCCAAGAAAAGCUUCUAAGCUUCAGGUAACCAGGAACCGUACCCCAAACCGACACAGGUGGUUGGGUAGAGAAUACCAAGGCGCUUGAGAGAACUCGGGUGAAGGAACUAGGCAAAAUGGCACCGUAACUUCGGGAGAAGGUGCGCCGGUGAGGGUGAAGGACUUGCUCCGUAAGCUCAUGCCGGUCGAAGAUACCAGGCCGCUGCGACUGUUUAUUAAAAACACAGCACUCUGCAAACACGAAAGUGGACGUAUAGGGUGUGACGCCUGCCCGGUGCCGGAAGGUUAAUUGAUGGGGUUAGCUAACGCGAAGCUCUUGAUCGAAGCCCCGGUAAACGGCGGCCGUAACUAUAACGGUCCUAAGGUAGCGAAAUUCCUUGUCGGGUAAGUUCCGACCUGCACGAAUGGCGUAACGAUGGCGGCGCUGUCUCCACCCGAGACUCAGUGAAAUUGAAAUCGCUGUGAAGAUGCAGUGUAUCCGCGGCUAGACGGAAAGACCCCGUGAACCUUUACUAUAGCUUUGCACUGGACUUUGAAUUUGCUUGUGUAGG